Molecule: long non-coding RNA, 1653 nt
Organism: Cyanistes caeruleus (blue tit)
Lineage: Eukaryota; Metazoa; Chordata; Aves; Passeriformes; Paridae
Source: Ensembl
CACGUUUUUUCCCCGCCUUUUCCAAGCCACGCCCAACCCCCCGCCCCGCCCCCACUUCACAAAACCCCUCCCACACUUCCAUAUUUGGCGUUUAGGGGGCGGAGACUUCCGGGGAGGGGGCGUGUCCGGCGGCUGCCCCACAAGUGAAGCUCUUGGGGAGGGGGGAGGGGUUUCAAAGUUCCGUUUUCUGCCCCAAAAAUCCCAAUUUUGGGGUCUUUAAAAGUUCCUUUUUCUGCCCCAAAAUGAAACUCGAGGGGGGGGGAAACUCAAAGUUCGUUUUUUUUUGCCCCAAAAAAGUCGAAAUUUUGGGGUUUUAAAGUCGAUUUUUCUGCCCCAUAAGUGAAGUUUGGGGUCUUAAAGUUCCUUUUUCUGCCCCAUAAGUGAAAUUUUGGGGUUUUAAAGUUGCUUUUUCUGCCCCAUAAGUUGAGAUUUGGGGUCUUAAAGUUGAUUUUUCUGCCCCAUAAGUGAAGUUUGGGGUCUUAAAGUUGAUUUUUCUGCCCCACAAGUGAACUUGGGGGUCGCUGGAGUCGAUUUUCUGCCCCACAAGUGGAGUUUGGGGUCCCAAAGUUCCUUUCCUGCCCCACAAGUGAACUUGGGGGUCGCUGGAAUCCGGUUCUGCCCCACAAGUGAACUUAGGGGUCGCUGGAAUUGGUUUCUGCCCCACAAGUGAAGUUUGGGGUCACUGGAGUCGAUUUCCUGCCCCACAAGUGGAGUUUGGGGCCUUGAAGUCGAUUUUUCUGCCCCACAUGUGAAGUUGGGGGUCGCUGAAAUCUGUUUCUGCCCCAUAAGUGAAGUUUGGGGUCUUAGAGUUGAUUUCCUGCCCCACAAGUGGAGUUUGGGGUCCCGAAGUUCCUUUUUCUGCCCCAUAAGUGAACUUGGGGGUCGCUGGAAUCCGUUUCUGCCCCAUAAGUGGAGUUUGGGGUCCCAAAGUUCAUUUUUCUGCCCCACAAGUGAAGUUUGGGGUCUUAAAGUCCCUUUCCUGCCCCACAAGUGAACUUGGGGGUCGCUGGAAUCCGGUUCUGCCCCACAAGUUGAGAUUUGGGGUCUUAAAAUCCGAUCUCUGCCCCACAAGUGAAGUUUGGGGUCUUGAAGUUGAUUUUUCUGCCCCACAAGUGAACUUGGGGGUCGCUGGAAUCCGUUUCUGCCCCACAAGUGGAAAUUUGGGGUCUCAGGCUCCGUUUCUGCCCCAUAGAUGGAAUUUUGGGGGGUCCAAGUCCAUUCUCUGCCCCACAAGUGGAACUUGGGGGUCUCCAGGUGCCCCACAAGUGAAUUUUGGGGGUCUCCAAGUCCAUUCUCUGCCCCAUAGAUGGAAUUUGGGGGGUCCAAGUCCAUUUCCUGCCCCACAAGUGGAACUUGGGGGUCUCGGGCUCCGUCUCUGCCCCACAAGUGAAAUUUUGGGCGUCUCCAAGUCCGUUCUCUGCCCCACAAGUGAACUUUGGGUUCUCAAGUCCAUUCUCUGCCCCACAAGUGGAACUUGGGGGUCUCGGGCUCCGUUUCUGCCCCACAAGUGAAUUUUGGGGGUCUCCAAGUCCAUUCUCUGCCCCAUAGAUGGAAUUUUAGGGGGUCCAAGUCUCGUUCUCUGCCCCACAAGUGGAACUUGGGGGUCUCAGGUUCCAUUUCCUGCCCCAUAGAUGGAAUUUUGGGGGGUCCAAG